AACGAACGCUGGCGGCAUGCCUAACACAUGCAAGUCGAACGAGACCUUCGGGUCUAGUGGCGAACGGGUGCGUAACGCGUGGGAAUCUGCCCUUGGGUUCGGAAUAACAGUUGGAAACGACUGCUAAUACCGGAUGAUGACGUAAGUCCAAAGAUUUAUCGCUCCAGGAUGAGCCCGCGUAGGAUUAGCUAGUUGGUGAGGUAAAGGCUCACCAAGGCGACGAUCCUUAGCUGGUCUGAGAGGAUGAUCAGCCACACUGGGACUGAGACACGGCCCAGACUCCUACGGGAGGCAGCAGUGGGGAAUAUUGGACAAUGGGCGAAGGCCUGAUCCAGCAAUGCCGCGUGAGUGAUGAAGGCCUUAGGGUUGUAAAGCUCUUUUACCCGGGAUGAUAAUGACAGUACCGGGAGAAUAAGCUCCGGCUAACUCCGUG
This 433-nucleotide ribosomal RNA is filed under the name uncultured bacterium. RNAcentral describes it as "partial 16S ribosomal RNA". It matches the Rfam family "Bacterial small subunit ribosomal RNA", at positions 29 to 507 of the family's 1533-position model. The record is from RNAcentral.